GGAGCGCUCAGAGGGCCCGCCCUCCGGCUGAGGGGCGGGGCCUCUGUGGUACGCCGUCGUGCGUGGCGCAGCCAUCUUGGAGCCGGGCGAUGGCGUCCUCAGGGCGGAAGUGUGGCGUGGAGGGAGCCGGUGUUGUCAUGUCUGUGGCUCUCAGGUGUUCCCUUGAUCUGGCUUCCCAGGCUCCUGUCAAGUUAUGGCACAGCUGAUGGGCAGUCUUCCCAUCUGCAGGACCCGCCGAGGCAGCCCCCCCACACCCUGGGCAGCAGGAUGUGGUCGCAGAGGUUCUUGCUGCCUUUGAGAGACGGUCUCCGGACCCUUCUUUUCUGUUGGCUCACGGCUUCUUCCAGACCCUCCACCUGUGUGCAUCUCUUCGCCCCGUGGCCUCCCCAGCCGAGGAAUCUGCUUAGCAUUUAAAGCAGAAACAGAACCAGCCCUGCCCCCCAGAAAUUGAACUUUUUGUUGUUUGUCUUCAGAAAAGCAAACCAGGUGUUGAGUUGGGCUCAUCUGGAUUGCUUCAGCUAUGGGUGAACAGCCAGACCUUCCCAUUUCAAUAUCCACACGCCUCAUUUCUCCCUCCCUAGUGAGGGUCGGAGGUGCUUUGGUUGUGCAUGACACAGGCUACCCCAUUUCACUGCUGGAGAGCUCAGAGCUCGCUGUGUAAGAAACAGAGGGAGGUAAGAGAAAGGAAAGCAGGAUGGCCCCUGCUGACCAUGCUCCCAGGAGCCUUCUGUGCCCUGGGAGCUGGGCUCACAAAUGGUCUGGUGUUUCAGGGAUGGGCCUUAUUUUGGAGCCAGACUGCUGGAGUUCACAUUCUGGUGUUGUCCCCUCCUGGCUGUGUGGCUUCAACUUCUCUGUGCCCUCGUUUCCUCACUUGUGAACUGGGGCUAACCCCACAGGGUGUGAGGAUUAGAUAAAUUAAAUCAUGGAAGGGGCUAAUGGUCAGUGCUGUGUAAGUGUCACCCCAAGGUGAUUUCUUUUCCUGCGGUGCGCGGGCCUCUCACUCCCUUGUUGGUCCCUUCUCCACUGGGUGUUCUAAUCACCCUCAUGUGGGAGACUGAGUGGCCCUUAAAAGACCUGCUGGGCCUGGUCUUGGAGGAAGAGCAGAUGGAGCCUGUGCAGCAGCGAGUCCCGCAGACCCCGGGGGCUUGGCCAGCGCUGGGUGACAGGGCAAACGUGUGGCUAAGGGCCGUGAAGGGGAUCAGGAUAUGCCGAGCCAAAAUAUAGCACCUUGGCGUGAGGUUUAUUUUGAGCUGAAGGCAUUCGAGAAUCAAUAGAUGCAGAAAGAGGCCUUUUUGGAGCGUCCCUCAUCUGAAUAAGAGCAACUUCUGGGAAAUAAGGCUGCCGUAAAUUGUCGGGCCUGUCUGCUUCCAGGGGGGAUACUGUGAAUAAAUCCUAUCCCAAGUUCCUUCUCGGGGACAUUAUCACAUACCUUCUUAUGUUUCAAUUGUUCUCUUAAAACUCGUUUGUCUUUCCUAAAGAGACUUGUUUUUCCUGUAGGAAGGCUUUUCUCCCGGCUCCCUUUCCCCCAUUAAAUUAGGUAUAUAAGCAUCUAAUUGAAACCAUUUACUGAGCCAGCUACUUUUCUUGGCUCCCAUGUGCAUACGAAUGAACUUUUUUCUUCUGUUAAAUCUGUUGUCAGUUUAGUCCACACACGUCAGUUACUGAACGUGAGAGGGUAAAGGAAAAGGUAUUUCCUACCCUACAGCUUCCUUCACCACAGAGGCUCCGUAACUUGGCCAGACAUGGAGGUGGGGUGAGGCGAUGCGGGUGGAGGGGGCAUGGGGAUGUGAGGGCAGGAGCCGGGACUGCCCCUCCUCCCCUUAUGUGUGACAUCACGCUCAAAAACUCACCAGAAUGAGUGGGAAGAUGGAGAUUGAUCCCCUAGGCAGACAAAAGAUGGCUUUUCAUCAGAAACAAAACAUUGUCAGGCAGGAAGGUGAGUGAGAAGGUCCCAGGAAGGCAGGCAAGGGUUGUAGAGAAGGGAGGGGCAUGCCUUCUACAGGGCGGGCGAUGCGUCAUCGUCUUGGGGGCUACACGUGUCAGAAAACUGAAAAAAAUUUUAGCUUUUUCCCGUGUUUGGUUUAAAUUCGGUUCAAAAUGUCCCACAUAGGAAACAAAAGGGGGAUUUGCUGUGUGCUCCCACCAUACCCUGAACUUGUCAUCUCCUUGGCGCUCAGAGAGAACAGCGAGUCCAUUGGCUCCAUCACCUGAGCCAACAGGAGCCACUGGGCCUCAGCCAGCUCUGGUGACCUCUGCCCUCAGGAGGAGCUGGGAGCAACCUGCGUGCAGGACGUCUGCCCCUCCUUCUGGAAGCCACACCCUAACCAGGUGCAGAUGUGCUGGGCGGAGGUUUGCUGAGAUGAUUUAGAAUGUUUAUCAUUGGCAACCUAAUGUUCAGGUUGCAAGUGUGAGAGGUCAUACCCGUAUUUUCAUGUAGAUACAGAAGAACAUAUUUUCUGAAUUUUGGGGAGCUCCCUUAAAUCAUGCUGGUUUUUCAGGGCGAGACACUCCAGAACAUAAGAGAGUUAAGAUGCAAAAUGCUUUAACAUGGCUCUCUAGCAUCGUGUGUGCUUGGAGUACAUCUGUUGAGAAUUUUGCGUGGGCUCUGCUUUUGUGGAAACAAAUCCGAAUUGCCUGUUUAUCAAAGGCAGAAAAUUAAGGGGAUUCUGAGCUCGUGGUGCAGGGAAUGGACGUGGUGACACAACUUUGAAGUGGUAGAAAAAUUAUUUGUCACUAUUGUAAGCUUAAUGGUGACAUCUGGUAUCACUACGUGUUUUCUGGCUUUUUCAGUUGAAUUUUGGUUCUUCAAACCCUCUCCGGGAUUGGAGGUGGCAGUGGGCUCAGGUUUCAAUGGUGUGGAAGCCCUGGCUGCUGUCUUACAUUACUCGGCUUGAGGUGUCAACCUGACCUCUGGGUCAUUCCUUAUGCUCUGGGAUAACUGGGGUCCAUUUCUUCCCAGGAGAAAAUAAAAUAUAAAAUAUACUGGAUGAUAAUGUCCUUUGAUCAAAGAUCCUUAACAAGGGAACACCCAGGAGAUCAUUGAAAGGCUGAGAUCACCCCUCCCCCUGUUUCCAAACAUUGACCAAAGGUCACAGCCUGUGUACUGGAGGGCAUGCUGGACGACCCUGCGAGCCUCACGUGAGCAUCGGGACCCUGCACGCCCAAGCCUCCUACAUACAGGGCUACAGAAAGGCGAGUGGAAACAGGAGAAAGACUAUUCAAAUGCACUUCCCCAGAGAAGAUAGAUAGAUGGCCAACAAGCACCUGAAAAGAUACUUGGCAAAAUGCAAAUCAGAACCACCACGAGAUACCAUUUGCCCCCUCUCUGGUGGUUAUAAUAAAAAUGCAAAAUGACAAGUGCUGGCGUAGAUGUGGAGAAAUUGGAACCCUCGUGCAUGGCUGGUGGGGAUGUAAAACAGUGUAGCCGCUGUGGGAAACAGUCUGGAGGUUCCUCAGAAGGUUAAGCACAGAGUUACCAGGUGACCCAGCAACUCCACUCCUGGGUGCACACCCAAGAGAAUUGAAAAGAGGCACCUGAGCACAUACCUGCCUGCCCACGGUCAUUCCUGCACAGUCACUGCAGCCGUAAGGUGGAAAGAGCCCGUGUCCAUUGACGAAUGAUGGAUAAACAGAACGUGGUCAUCCGUACAAGGGGGCAUCAUCCUGCUGUAAAAAGGAAUGAAGUGCUGACACACUACAAUGUGGAUGAACCUUGAAACCAUUAUUCUAAGUGAAAGAGCCCAGACAGAAAGGGCCACAUACAUGACAUGAGUUCACUUGUGUGUGAAACAUCCAGAACAGUACUAACGUGGAUCAGAAAGUAUGACAAAGUCUUCCUGGCUGAUAAGGCUGCGUGGAAUAUACAUUCUAAGAGAGUGAUCUUCAGGGUAGGGAGAGACAAGUACAGGUGGGAAUUUUGUGAUGAGCACAAGACUGCUUCUAAAGCUGCCAGAUUCUCCUUUUCACCUGUGUUCCUGCAGUUCUGUUACUUGCCACUAGAUGUGUGUGAGUGCUGUUAAGGCCUGCAGUCGUUAGUAUGAUAGAUCUAUUCCUGGCAAUCCGUAGAUACGCAUAAAUUCCACGUGGAAUUCAGCAGAGAUCUUGAGCAGGUUUCAGAUGCCUCGCCCCCGUGUGUCCCGGCAUCUUAAAUUAAUCGUGUGGGAAAGCUCUCCACUUGCAACAAGGGAGAUUUUUAUGCUGUAUUCAGACGUGGGCGGAUCCCAGUAUGUGUUACCUGGCGCCUGGGAGGAACCUGUGGUCCGGGACGUGGUCAGAAGGACCUGGUCAUAAACGACAGGCUUUCCAGCUGAAAACCUCCCGAUUAUCCUUCUGUGGUGCCAGUUUUGGCAGACUAACAGCACCCACCAAAAAGCAUCCUUUCCGUCCUCCUGCCCCCAAAUUUUAAUGUCGUCCCAAAGGUGCUCUCAUGGCAGCUGAAAGGAAAGUUUAAUGGACAGUUUUAUUGGUUUCUCAAGGCUGUUUCAAGAUGAUGCCGAAAUCCCUUGGAAUGUUUCUGGGACCGCGGAUUCAGGGAACAACAAAUCACCACCAACUGGGGGCCCGAGACAACACUGGUUCUCUUGCAGUCUGGAGCCUGAAUCAGAGAUUCAGGUGUCUCAAGGCUGUGCUGCCUGUGGAGGCUCUCGGGGGCUGGAAGGGGGAGGGUCCUUCCGGGCUUGUCCAGCCUCUGGGGCACCAGGUGUCCCUGGGCUGUGGCCGCGUCACUCCAGCCUCUACCUCCAUCUUUGCGUGGUUUCUCCUCUGUCAGGACUCCAGUCGUUGGAUUGAGGGCCGCCCUGAUCCAGGAUGAUCUCAUCUUAAAGAUCCUUCACUUUAUUACGUCUGCAAGGACCCCGUUUCCAAAUAAUGUCAUAACCUGAUAUUCAGGUUGUAUUCAUCAUGUUUUACCAUUUUCUGUACCUUGUGAUGUCUUGACAUCUUAAGAAACCUUUUGCUUCCAGACCCCACACCACCUCUUUAUCCACCUCUCACACACGGUGCCAACAUUCCCCCUUGCCCUUAAUCACCCAGGAAGAGGGACCAGACAGCUGGGGACAACCCCAGCACCCCCGGAACUGAUAAAGGCUCUCCUAGACCUCCCCCUGACUCCUGCUUCCACUCGGGUGCUUCCCCAUGGCCCUGCAUGUGUGGCCUCAUCUCUAGGACCCCUGAGUCUAAUAAACUUUGUCUUCCCGAGCUAUUCUUCUGUGCCCACACGUGUCCGACCGUCUCGUAAGAGAACACAGAACAGUCUGGGCACAGAUCAGGGUGGAUGUGGAUAUUUGGGGACACUCGUCAGCCCCCACGUGGACUGCACACACGUGUAUAUUGGCGUUAGGCCAGCAGGUCUGGCCACUGUCCCCCUCCCGUGAUGCACACCGGGACAGGGUGGCCAGUCACCUGCUGGGAUGACCCCAUCCCAAGGCUGAGGCCCCGGGAACCUCCAUCCGGGCUCCGAGGUGCUGCUGACUCUGUGCAUUUCAGAUAAGCAGGAAGUUCCUGAAAGGAAAACCACAAGCUUUAUUUUUAUUUAAUUCCAGCCAUUCUGUGGUUUUUGGAGAUGGUCUUUAAAGAUUUGUUUUUGAUUUUUAUCUCAAAGAGAAUGCAGAAAAGCCCAUGGGUCAGGCUCCAGAGAAAAUACACACAGAGAAGAGAAGCAGCGAGCUUGCCCCAGGCAGCUGUGGGGAGCAGGCAGGAUGGGCCUGGGGGGCACACUCUGGAGGAGGAGCUGCGGCUCCACCAGCUGGUGCUGCUGCCUGGAGCCCCAGCCUGGGCCACGCGGGGUGAGUCCCCACAGGCAGAGGGGCCGAGCGGGCUGUUGGGUUUA
Molecule: non-coding RNA, 5827 nt
Organism: Delphinapterus leucas (beluga whale)
Lineage: Eukaryota; Metazoa; Chordata; Mammalia; Artiodactyla; Monodontidae
Source: RefSeq, a predicted model, not a curated record